This 62-nucleotide microRNA precursor is filed under the name Polistes canadensis. RNAcentral's name for it is "microRNA pca-mir-29 precursor". Its record names the gene pca-mir-29. The record is from miRBase by way of RNAcentral. Lineage: Eukaryota; Metazoa; Arthropoda; Insecta; Hymenoptera; Vespidae.
ACUGACUUCUAUGUGUGCUGGGGUUUCAAUUCUACUUCCUAGCACCAUUUGAAAUCAGUACU